RNAcentral lists this long non-coding RNA (2239 nucleotides) under Gallus gallus (chicken). The record is from RNAcentral. Lineage: Eukaryota; Metazoa; Chordata; Aves; Galliformes; Phasianidae.
AAGUGAUGGAUGAAAUGUAUUAGGUUGGAGCUGACCUCAUUAUAGCAACCUCAAAACAAGCAGAACAUUUGUCACACAGCUUCUCAGAGGUUAUGUUUUUGUGAUUCAAUACUGUGCAAGAGAUCGCUACGGCUUCGGGUGUUGGACGCAGCCCACAGAGGACCAUUCCCUUCUACCACACUUCAGAAUUAUUGCACAAGAAAUGUUAUUGUGGUUCUUACUUCUGAGCACCCUUUCUGAACACAAUCUCUCUUCGUAUUUACUUGAGGUAUAAAAGAACAACUUCUGCCAGAAGUACUGAAAGCGCUUAAAAACAAAGAAGAUACAGAGUUAACGUUCACUUUACUUAGACAAAAGAUUGCUGCCUCCCAGGAUAACAUACUGCAGCUGCACGGUGCGUGGUGCCAGAGCCGUUCAGUAGGUGGGCUUCUGAGGAUCCAUGUAGGCAGGGUUGUAUGGGGGCUGGCUGAUGGGGUACGGUGCUCCAGCACCAGCUGCCACUGUCUCAUGGUAGGCCGGGGGUCCCGGUGGCUGCAUGGGAUAGGGGGGAGGAUACUGCGCAGGGUAGGGCGCGACUGGCAUCCCCGGCUGCGGCUGGAUGGCCACGGGCUGGUACCCCUGGUAGGGAGCUGCGGGGUAGCUGGGUGGCACUCCCUGCUGCUGUGGGUACGGCGCGUGAACCACCGUCGUGGCAGUCGUGGUGGUCACAACAGGUUGUGGUCUUCGACAUGCUUUGUACAGACAGCAACACGAGCAAGUGAGGCACAGAAUUAUAGUAAUGACAACCACUGCAAAAACGAUCACUCCAAUCGCAACAAGAGUUCCAAAACCCAUGCUCAUCGCCGCACGCUCGCCCCACGCCGGCCGCGUCACGCCUCCUGCCCGCCCCUCGCAGGGCGGGACCGUCUCGGCAACCAGCGCGGCUGCUUCGCCCCUCGCUGAAGGGGGUUGUCGUGUGACGCCAGCUGCCGAAGGUUAAUAGGGAGAGGGAGAGGUUAAUGACGUUUUGAGGGUUUGGGUUAGAUGACGGCAGUCCAACCAUCAGACGUCUUGGCCACGGUCUGGGGAAGGUGCCGCCAAGCCCAGGAGGGAAGGCAGCCCCGUGGUCCCAGCCCCACACGCUGCCUCGCUUGGGAAAGGCAGAGAAGGGCGAAACCGAGAAAGGCGUGUGGGAUCUCCCAGCUUCCCAGUUGUGAUGGCCUCUGGGGCCCGGAGGCAGCACGUGGGGAUGCGCGCGCGGCUGCUCCCGCGGCGUCAUUGGGGCCGGCUGUGGGGAAUGGCGUUCUGGCGUUGUAUCCAGGAGUGGCUGUGCAGGUGGGCAGGACGUGGCUGCCCUGGGUCGGCGCUGCCUCCGUGUGCCGUGGAGUCGCUUGAGGCCAUGGAUGAUGUCUGGCCGGCAGAAGGCAGGGUACUGCUCUCGGCACUUGCCGAGGCAGCAUAGCUGGUGGGGCUUGCUUGGGUGCGGUAGGAUGCUGUAGUUCCUGCAUACUGAGCUGUGCACCGGUUGUGGAACCUUUAUGGGAAGCUGCGGAAGGAGAAAUUUGGGGAUGGAACCCGGAUUGCUGAUGGCCUUUAUUCAUCUGAUAGCAGGCCUGAUGUCUAGCCCUGCUCCAGGAGGGCUGCCAGGUCUUGACAAGACUUCUGAAAUGCGUGAAAGUGCACUGGGAGUGUUAGUAGAACACACUGGAUCCUGGAAGAGUCCGGCGGGCUAUUUCUCUAGGUGGUUGGACCGCAUAAGUAAAGGGUGGCCGUCCCUUUUAGGGGCAGUGGCAGCACUGGUAUUGCUCGCACAGGAGGCACGACGCCUGACUUUGGGACAGAGAUGAGUGGUUGACACACUUGAUGGGCUGCGUCACCCCCUGCCUGGCAGCAUCUCCAGAGCAGCAGCAGCCCUCAGACCUGAGGCACUGCCCGAAUGCAGAAGGAAAGCCCGGGUCCUGGCCCACCCCACAGCCGGCAGCAGCCGUGGGGCUGCCUGCACGUCCCAAACACAGCGACGUCCCCAAGAUGUCAGAAACACCCCCAGAAUGGGGCUGCAGCUGCCAGCCUAGCCUCUUGCCACGCUGCGCGUUGGAAAUGUUGCGCCCCACGGGAGUCGGGGCCAGAACCCAGCUCAGCGUGAACCGGGCUGCGGGGAGGAAGGAAUGGGUUGGGUGCUGGGGGGAAGGGAUCCCCGUGGUUCCAGCCCCUAAAGCUGCCCACCUCGGGAAAGGCAGAGAAGAAUGAAAGCGACAGUGGC